RNAcentral lists this unclassified non-coding RNA (597 nucleotides) under Hevea brasiliensis (rubber tree). Lineage: Eukaryota; Viridiplantae; Streptophyta; Magnoliopsida; Malpighiales; Euphorbiaceae. The record is from RNAcentral.
GGAGAACUAGCUCAUUUCGUUUGUCCAAAGAUUUAUUUGUUUUUGUUUCGCAUGUAUUUUUUAGGAAUUGAAUUUAGGUCUGAAAUGCUAUUUUUGUUAUUGUUGAUGAAUUACGAUGUGAUUCCAGUUCAUUUGAUGCUGUUUAGUGUUGUUUGUUUUGGUGAUUGCCUUACCUCCGUCUUUUGACUUAUACCUCGCCUUUCUUGGCGUUCUGGAUGUCUUAGCUGAAUGUGCUUAUAUUAUGAAUAAGCAAAAAAAGAAAAAGAAAUAAUGGUAAGUACUCCAUUUGAUCAGUCCUGGUAUUGACCCCAUCAUGUUCUCCAAUUGCCAAAAUCAAAAGGUUUGAAAAUGUCCCUAUCUGUAAGUACCGUGUGGAGCACAUUUAAAUGAUUAAAAUGUUUUUCAAUGUCCAAGUGACUUUGAGUGAAGCUAAAUAAGCUUCUUAACUAUCUAUUUCUAGUGUCAUACAAUUUUGUGAAAUUGAAGCCCGAUAUGUUCAUUCUUUUGAGCUAUGUAGCUUUUGGAUGCUGAUUUAUAAAUUGUAAAUUGUAGUUUAACUGAUGGAUUUGCAUUAUUGCAGGCAUGGCGCUUGUUUCU